UACGUAGGGUGCGAGCGUUAAUCGGAAUUACUGGGCGUAAAGCGUGCGCAGGCGGUUCGUUAAGUCAGAUGUGAAAGCCCCGGGCUUAACCUGGGAAUGGCCGUUGAAACUGGCGAACUGGAGUGUGGCAGAGGGGGGUGGAAUUCCGCGUGUAGCAGUGAAAUGCGUAGAGAUGCGGAGGAACACCGAUGGCGAAGGCAGCCCCCUGGGCUAACACUGACGCUCAGGCACGAAAGCGUGGGGAGCAAACAGG
RNAcentral lists this ribosomal RNA (253 nucleotides) under uncultured bacterium. RNAcentral describes it as "partial 16S ribosomal RNA". It matches the Rfam family "Bacterial small subunit ribosomal RNA", at positions 524 to 776 of the family's 1533-position model. The record is from RNAcentral.